GCCUGAGUGGCUCAGUGGUUGAGCAUCUGUGUUUGACUCAGGUCGUGAUCCCGGGGUCCUGGGAUCGAGUCCCACAUCAGGCU
RNAcentral lists this transfer RNA (83 nucleotides) under Canis lupus familiaris (dog). It matches the Rfam family "tRNA". Rfam says of the family: Transfer RNA (tRNA) molecules are approximately 80 nucleotides in length. Their secondary structure includes four short double-helical elements and three loops (D, anti-codon, and T loops). Further hydrogen bonds mediate the characteristic L-shaped molecular structure. tRNAs have two regions of fundamental functional importance: the anti-codon, which is responsible for specific mRNA codon recognition, and the 3' end, to which the tRNAs corresponding amino acid is attached (by aminoacyl-tRNA synthetases). tRNAs cope with the degeneracy of the genetic code in two manners: having more than one tRNA (with a specific anti-codon) for a particular amino acid; and 'wobble' base-pairing, i.e. permitting non-standard base-pairing at the 3rd anti-codon position. Lineage: Eukaryota; Metazoa; Chordata; Mammalia; Carnivora; Canidae. The record is from Rfam by way of RNAcentral. RNAcentral also lists the same sequence under 1 other name.